Molecule: non-coding RNA, 124 nt
Filed under: Halanaerobium hydrogeniformans
Lineage: Bacteria; Bacillati; Bacillota; Clostridia; Halanaerobiales; Halanaerobiaceae
Description: MoCo sequence
Rfam family: Molybdenum/Tungsten riboswitch aptamer (Moco RNA motif)
Source: Rfam by way of RNAcentral
UAUUAGUAAUACCUUCGAGUUUUUCUGCCUAAAGAAAAUAGCUUUCUAAGGUGGCUAAACCGAUGGGUUGAGAAAGAAAUGACUCAGCCUCCCGUGCUUGGAAAGAAGAGUAAUCUUAAGGAGG